AGACGUUCACCUUGCCUCCCUCGGCAAGGCGCAGUUCGACUCAGGCCAUGGAACGGGGACCUGAG
The submitters of this non-coding RNA (65 nucleotides) gave its source as unclassified sequences. The record is from Rfam.